Molecule: long non-coding RNA, 3016 nt
Filed under: Malus domestica (apple)
Lineage: Eukaryota; Viridiplantae; Streptophyta; Magnoliopsida; Rosales; Rosaceae
Description: long non-coding RNA (MDOM_LNC019511)
Source: RNAcentral
CUAGAUUAGUUUAACAUGUGAAAUGUCCGUAAAGUAUCAUCAUAUGAUUGGUUUUAGGGCACAUUUCCAACAAUACAAACAAGUUUGGCGGUUGGAUCGUUAAAAUUAGUUUCAUAGAAUUUGUAUCCCAUUAAAACGAUAGAUUCACUAACACUUAGAGUUUAUUUAUACUUUCAUUAAGUAUAACAUAAGAUUUUGUGGUAUCCACUUGGGAAAAUAUUUUAAAUUGAUGAUCAAAUUCAUUCAUUUUAUUCGUAUAGGGUCAAGGAGGGUAAUUGUAAAAAAUCAUCAAAAUCGGAGUUAAAAUAACCGUUAAAUCGUGAAUUUUUGUUUUAUAACCGUCGAAAAGUUUUGUCUCAUUACUUGAUCUCUGAAUGUUUUUUUAAUGUGAUUUUUGGCGUAUGUGAUCUCGAAGCAUAUACAAACAAGUUUGACGGUUGGAUUGUUAAAAUUAGUUUCAUAGAAUUCGUAUCCCAUCAAAAUGAUAGAUUCACUAACACUUAGAGUUUAUUUAUACUUUCAUUAAGUAUAACAUAAGAUCUUGUGGUAUCCACUUGUGUAAAUAUUUUAAAUUGACGAUCAAAUUCAUUUAUUGUAUUCGUAUAUGGUCAAGGAGUGUCGUUGUAAUCACCAAAAUCGGAGUUAAAAUAAUCGUUAAAUCGUGAUUUUUUGUUUUAUAACUGUCGAAAAGUUUUGUCUCAUUUCUUGAUCUCUGAAUGUUUUUUUUUAUGUGAUUUUUGGCGUAUGCGAUCUCAAAGCAUAUACAAACAAGUUUGACAGUUGGAUCAUUAAAAUUAGUUUCAUAGAAUUCGUAUCCCAUCAAAACGAUAGAUUCACUAACACUUAGAGUUUAUUUAUACUUUCAUUAAGUAUAACAUAAGAUUUUGUCAUGUCCACUUGUGUAAAUAUUUUAAAUUGAUGAUCAAAUUCAUUCAUUGUAUUCGUAUAGGGUCAAGGAGUGUAGUUGUAAACAAUCAUCAAAAUCGGAGUUAAAAUAACCGUUAAAUUGUGAUUUUUUGUUUUAUAACCGUCGAAAAGUUUUGUCUCAUUACUUGAUCUCUGAAUGUUUGUUUUUUGUGAUUUUUGGCAUAUGCGAUCUCAAAGCGUAUACAAACAAAUUUGAUGGUUGGAUUGUUAAAAUUAGUUUCAUAGAAUUGGUAUCCCAUCAAAACGAUAAAUUCACUAACGCUUACAGUUUAUUUAUACUUUCAUUGAGUAUAACAUAAGAUUUUGUGGUAUCCACUUGUGUAAAUAUUUUAAAUUGACAAUCAAAUUCAUUCGUUGUAUUCGUAUAGGGUCAAGUAGUGUAAUUGUUAAAAAUCAUCAAAACCGGAGUUAAAAUAACCGUUAAAUCGUGAUUUUUUGUUUUAUAACCGUCGAAAAGUUUUGUCUCAUUUCUUGAUCUCUGAAUGUUUGUUUUUUGUGAUUUUUGGCAUAUGCGGUCUCGAAGCAUAUACAAACAAGUUUGAUGGUUGGAUCGUUAAAAUUAGUUUUAUAGAAUUCGUAUCCCAUCGAAACAAUAGAUUCACUAACACUUAGAGUUUAUUUAUACUUUCAUUAUGUAUAACAUCAGAUUUUGAGGUAUCCGCUUGUGUAAAUAUUUUAAAUUGACGAUCAAAUUCAUUCAUUGUAUUCGUAUAGGGUCAAGGAGUGUAGUUUUAAAACAUCAUCAAAAUUGGAGUUAAAAUAAUCGUUAAAUCGUGAUUUUUUUUAUUUUUAACUGUCGAAAAGUUUUGUCUCAUACUUGAUCUCUGAAUGUUUGUUUUUUGUGAUUUUUGGCGUAUGCGGUCUCGAAGCGUAUACAAACAAGUUUGACGGUUGGAUCGUUGAAAUUAGUUUCAUAGAAUUUGUACCUCAUCAAAACGAUAGAUUCACUAACACUUAGAUUUUAUUUAUACUUUCAUUAAGUAUAACAUAAGAUUUUGUGGUAUCCAUGUCACAGCCCGUCCCGGGAUUUCUAUAUCGGGGGCGUGAAUUGACGUAAUUACCCUUGGCGGACAUUUGGGUACGUGUGUGUGACAUUAUUUGAAUUAAUUUUGUAAGUUUUGGGAUUAAACUAUUGGAAUUGGAAUUUUUGUGGUUAGGGAUUUGGAUGGAUGGUGAGGAUUGUGUUGGACCACACAAUCACACACACACGCACUCCCUGUCUUCUCUCCCUCCCGUAGCACUCUCUGUCUCUCUCCCUCACGAUCUCUCUCUUUCCCUCACUCUCCACGUACGGACCACCACCAAAACCCUUCAAAACUUGACGGAUCGAGGCAAAUAAGGUAUGUAUCUUCAUCGUUUUGACGUCCUGAGUUCAUUGGUGCUAGUUUUAGGAAGUGAAACCUUCGAUUUCACGUGAAUCCCGAACCUCCAUUUUUGAGGUACUGUUCAUGCGAACGUAAAAUGUUGUGUUUCAGGAGAAUUCAAGCUUAUAGCAAGCUUUGUAAGGUCCUAAGGAAGCUCGGGGACGUUCGUUUGAAGGAUUUGGACGUCGGGAUCGUGAGUUUCAAGGUUGGCCGAAUCUUUGGUUUUUGCAAGGUGAGAUUUCGUGAUUUUUAGGUCCUAAAACUAGUCCAACGUGAUAGUACACUCUUAGGGCUUCAAUUUGGUAUAAAAUACGAAGAAAAUGGGUGAAAAACGAAGGAGAUCUGUGAGUUUGAAAAUCGGCCGGAGUUUGGCCGGAGUCCGGCCGCCGGGAAACCAGUCCGGCGAGGCCCUGCGAAGGAGACAACACGUGCGCUGCACGUGCUGCGCGUGGCCAGCGCGUGGACCCGUGCCACGUGUGGCGCGUGGGGGAGCGUGAGCAGUCAAAAUUUUUUUCUAAAAAUAUCCCGACGCUCGUGACGUCGAGUAGGUCGAUGUGGUAUAUUCAUAUACCCAAAUUGAGCAUCGUAUGAGAAGUUAUUUCGAAAUAUUGGUGAUGUGUUUAAAAUUAACGUUUUUAUAGUUGUUUCGCAUAUAGGUGAGACGUAUCACGAGGACGACCGCAUCCAGGGACGCCACGGGGGUUACGACCCGUCGACUUAUCAGU